CAAUGAAAUGUUACACUCCUGUGAUCUACAAGGGACUUUCACCUUGCAAGCCAAAUGCUAUUAAAAAUGCUGUUCUCCAGUCAGAGCAAGUUCAAUAUGUUAUCAAGCAGUUAGCAAGAGAGAUGGGAGAAUCACCCGAUAUUAUUCAAGAAGAAGCCAUGGAAAUCUUGGAUGAGAUGGGCCACAGUAUGCAAUUAGGAGCUGUCAGAUUUUUUGCGUUUACGUUGAGCAAAAUAUUUAAACAGCUUUUCCAGAGAGUUUGUGUGAAUGAAGAAGGAAUGCAGAGAUUGCAACACGCCAUUCAGGAGCAUCCAGUUGUUCUACUGCCCAGUCACCGAAGCUAUGUAGACUUUUGAUGCUG
Tyto alba (common barn owl) is the source of this 361-nucleotide long non-coding RNA. RefSeq lists it as uncharacterized. The record is from RefSeq and is a predicted model, not a curated record. The transcript has 3 exons. Lineage: Eukaryota; Metazoa; Chordata; Aves; Strigiformes; Tytonidae.